Tarenaya hassleriana is the source of this 408-nucleotide long non-coding RNA. RefSeq lists it as uncharacterized. NCBI's taxonomy places the organism in Eukaryota, Viridiplantae, Streptophyta, Magnoliopsida, Brassicales, Cleomaceae. The transcript has 3 exons. The record is from RefSeq and is a predicted model, not a curated record.
UUUUCCUCCUCCCAUGGCCGACCCUAACACCAUUGUUGCCUAUCUUCCACUCCGAUUUGCCUCCUUGCUCGCCGUCGACCAUCGACCACCGCCCCGUGGCCACCGCUUCAUCACCGUCGGUGAAGAAAAUCUCGAGGUUAUUGAACACAGGAUCGAGGAUUAGAGCGAAUCUUUCGGAGUUCAUCGUUUAGACCAAGGUGAAAAGUGAAGCAGAUUAUUGUGGUUGGAUUCGGUAGUUUGCCAGAAAGACGAAGAUUUAGAAUUUUUAUUUCCUUUAUUCAAUUUAUUCAUGAAAUUAAUAUUCAGACUUAAGUUAUUGAAAUUCAUUGUUUUAGACUUCCGCUGUAGAGCCUGAUUUUGAUGGUUGAUUUUAGAAUAAAUCGGACUUUUUUAUAACCUAAGUGACGA